Molecule: long non-coding RNA, 809 nt
Filed under: Sorghum bicolor (sorghum)
Lineage: Eukaryota; Viridiplantae; Streptophyta; Magnoliopsida; Poales; Poaceae
Description: long non-coding RNA (SBIC_LNC018671)
Source: RNAcentral
AAGCAGAGGUGGAUUUGGUGGGCGUGGGCAAGGGCAUGGUGGGCAUUUUGGGCGUGGGCGUGGGCGUGGGCGUGGGAGAGGGAAGGGGAGGGGAGAGGAUAUGGUGAGAGUUUCUGCUGAAGAUCUGGAUGCAGACUUGGACAAGUACCAUGCUGCAGCAAUGGAAACCAGCUAAAUGAUUUUGGCACAACAUUUGUGGUGGGCAGUUUGGCAGUAUGUCUUCCUGUGUCUCCUUUUGUAGGAAUAGAUGCUGACCAUAGUAUAAAGUAUUGGGUCAUGAGCGUGUGUAUUAAUCUUGAAUGUCAAUUUCCAGUGAGAACAUGUUGGGUGAUAAAAUGGAGAGGAUGGAAGCAUCUACGAGAUGAGGUGUUUUGUGACAGGAAGCUGACUCUUGUUCCAUUGUAGGUUUGGUUGCUUAGGCCUUGUUUAGUUGGCAAAAAUUUUGGAUUUUGGGUACUGUAGCACUUUCGUUUGUUUGUGGCAAAUAUUAUCCAAUCAUAGACUAAUUAGGGUCAAAGAUUCAUCUCGCGAUUUACAAGCAAACUGCGUAAUUAGUUUUUGUUUUCGUUUAAAUUUAAUACUCCAUGCAUGUACCGCAAGAUUCGAUGUGACGGGAAAUCUUGAAAUUUUUUGGUAACUAAACAAGGCCUUAGUUACAAACUUGUAGAUGGUAAUGGAAUAUAUACCUCAUGGUUCUGAUAUUCUAUCAUAUUUCAUGUUGGAUGUGGCCGCUGCGCAGUUCAACUGCGUGAUUAUGUUGUUAGCCUGGGCACAAGUCAAUCGGGUCUCACACUAGUUGCCAAAAUGUG